Molecule: ribosomal RNA, 77 nt
Filed under: uncultured Glomus
Lineage: Eukaryota; Fungi; Glomeromycota; Glomeromycetes; Glomerales; Glomeraceae
Description: partial 18S ribosomal RNA
Source: RNAcentral
GUGCUGAGAGUGAUCAACUGGUCAUUAGAGGAGUAAAGUCGUACCAGGUUCCGUAGGUGACCUGCGGAAGGAUCAUA